CUUAAGCAUAUCAAUAAGCGGAGGAAAAGAAACUAACAAGGAUUCCCCUAGUAACUGCGAGUGAAGAGGGAAAAGCUCAAAUUUAAAAUCUGGCAGCUUUGGCUGUCCGAGUUGUAAUCUGGAGAAGUGUUUUCAGUGCAGGACCGUGUACAAGUCUCUUGGAAUGGAGCAUCAUAGAGGGUGAGAAUCCCGUCUUUGACACGGACUACCUGUGCUUUGUGAUACACUCUCAAAGAGUCGAGUUGUUUGGGAAUGCAGCUCAAAAUGGGUGGUAAAUUCCAUCUAAAGCUAAAUAUUGGCGAGAGACCGAUAGCGAACAAGUACCGUGAGGGAAAGAUGAAAAGCACUUUGGAAAGAGAGUUAAACAGUACGUGAAAUUGUUGAAAGGGAAACGCUUGGAGUCAGUCGCGUUUGUUAGAACUCAGCUUGGCUUCUGCUUAGUGUACUUUCUAAUGAACGGGCCAACAUCGAUUUCAGUCGGUGGAUAAGGGUAAGAGGAAUGUGGCACCUUCGGGUGUGUUAUAACCUCUUAUCAGUAUACAUUUACUGGGAUCGAGGUCUGCAGCACUUGUGCUUAGGAUGUUGGCAUAAUGGCUUUAAUCGACCCGUCUUGAAACACGGACCAAGGAGUCUAACAUGCCCGCGAGUGUUAGGGUGGUAAACCCUUGCGCGUAAUGAAAGUGAAAGUUGGGACCUCUGUCAUGGGGGGCACCGACGCCCGGUCCAGAACUUUUGUGACGGUACUGCGGUAGAGCGUGUAUGUUGGGACCCGAAAGAUGGUGAACUAUGCCUGAAUAGGGUGAAGCCAGAGGAAACUCUGGUGGAGGCUCGUAGCGAUUCUGACGUGCAAAUCGAUCGUCAAAUUUGGGUAUAGGGGCGAAAGACUAAUCAAACCAUCUAGUAACUGGUUCC
This 912-nucleotide ribosomal RNA is filed under the name Resinicium bicolor. RNAcentral's name for it is "eukaryotic LSU rRNA". It matches the Rfam family "Eukaryotic large subunit ribosomal RNA", at positions 33 to 958 of the family's 3401-position model. The record is from RNAcentral. Lineage: Eukaryota; Fungi; Basidiomycota; Agaricomycetes; Hymenochaetales.